This 683-nucleotide long non-coding RNA is filed under the name Rattus norvegicus (Norway rat). Its description in RNAcentral is "long non-coding RNA NONRATT007804". The record is from RNAcentral. Lineage: Eukaryota; Metazoa; Chordata; Mammalia; Rodentia; Muridae.
GGCUCAUCCCAGAUGGCACCAACAGCUUCCUUUGCACAGCUGAGAGACAGGGCAGGGGUUGAGCUGUACAGGUAUCCCUGUCCCCACACUGCCCUGGAGCUUUGCUAUACUGUUCCAGUCAGUCCCAGGCGGUGCUGCUGUGUACUCUUUAGUUCAGCCCUCCAGCAGCUUCUGCUUCCACUUGACGAGACAAAACUUGUAACAGAAAGACCACUGUGUUGAGAUUGUUUUGGUGCCUGUACUGUGUGCGCUGUUUCAGUAUAAAGAUAUGCUCCUACCUACCUUCGAUAAAGGUUGGCCCGCCUUGCCAUCAUGCAGCAAACAAGGGUUCCUUUCCUUCUUUUACUUUUUGGUCCUGGGUAUUGAGCCCAAUGCCUUGCACCUGCCAAACACAUGCUCUGCCACAUGGCUCCAGCCUUGACACCCUCCUACCCUUGCCAACUCAACAAGUUUUUUCUUGCUCACAUCUUGCCAGUGCGGUGAAUGUCUGAUUAUCUAGGAGACCACCAAGCAGGUCUCUAGCAGUCCCUCCAGGCUGUGAGGGCCUGUGCACAGGUGGCCGUGGGAGCCUCUUGACCUUGGGCAAACUGCCCAGCUUUGUGAUUUUGCAGUACAGCACUCCAAUUGGAAAAUAGUUCUUUCACUAUUAUUUUGACCAAAAAAACAAAACAAAAAAAAAAAAC